GACGAACGCUGGCGGCGUGCCUAACACAUGCCAGUCGAGCGCUGCCGGCGGGUCCUUUUACCCACUGGUGCGUCACGCGUCGGAUGAUUCACUUGUGGUCGGAAUAACUCUGCGAGAGGGGUGACAUUACCGAAUGAUGUCUACGACCCCAAGAUGUAUCGAAUUUGGAUGGUCGCGCUUGGGAUUUGCUAGUUGGUAGCGUAAAAGCCUACCCAGGCGACGAUACAUAGCUGGUCUGGGAGGAUGAUCAGCCACACUGGGACUGAGACACGGCCCAGACUCCUACGGGAGGCAGCAGUGGGGAAUAUUGGACGACGGGCGAGAGACUGAUCCAGCAAUGCCGCGUGAGUGAUGAAGGACUUAGGGUUGUAAAGCUCUUUUACCCGGGAUGAUAAUGACAGUACCGGGAGAAUAAGCGCCGGCUAACUCCGUG
Molecule: ribosomal RNA, 433 nt
Filed under: uncultured bacterium
Lineage: Bacteria
Description: partial 16S ribosomal RNA
Rfam family: Bacterial small subunit ribosomal RNA
Source: RNAcentral